Diceros bicornis minor is the source of this 621-nucleotide long non-coding RNA. RefSeq lists it as uncharacterized. NCBI's taxonomy places the organism in Eukaryota, Metazoa, Chordata, Mammalia, Perissodactyla, Rhinocerotidae. The record is from RefSeq and is a predicted model, not a curated record. The transcript is spliced from 2 exons.
UGCACCAUUUACAUCCCCACCAGCAAGGCACCAGGGGUCCCAUUUCUCCACAUCUUUGCCAACCCUUCAAAUGACUCCACACGAUCUCAUUCAAUCCCUCUGGUAACCCAGUGAAGCGGACGACAUCACGCCAUCUCACAGAGGAGGAAAGGAAGAAGCAACACUCUUGUAUGCAUGCAUCAUUAGCUUAACAAAUGUUUACUGAGCAUCUACUAUAUGCUGGGAAAUCGGGACACAGCAAUAAAGGCAACACCAUUCCUGCCUUCAAGGAGCUGAUAGCCCUGUGGAGAGGAGAUCUGCUGAAUUCGACUACAGAUGAGGCUACAUGGUACACAGUAGCAGCCUUGCUCAGUGGAGGUGCCCAGUGCAGCCAGAGGGCCAUCGGAGAAGGCUCCUGGAGGAUGGGGAGUCAGCUGGACCUCACGCAGUGCACAUUCAAGAACGUUCCUUCACAAAUGGUCUUGGCUCAGCUCUUAACCUCUAUAUUUCUUCUCGAUUGUAUUUCUUACCAGGAUCUCACUCUUUUCUGUUUGUUUCUGUGUGUUUUAUGAAAACGUUUUUAUAACUUGUUAUGAUACCCCCUGGCCUCCGUAGGGAAUAAAUUGUUAUCUUUGACUACUC